This 83-nucleotide small RNA is filed under the name Sinorhizobium meliloti 2011. RNAcentral describes it as "putative ncRNA". Lineage: Bacteria; Pseudomonadati; Pseudomonadota; Alphaproteobacteria; Hyphomicrobiales; Rhizobiaceae. The record is from RNAcentral.
AGGUCGGGUCGACCUGAAAACAUGAACGUGAUCGAUUCCAAGAAGUUGAGACCCGGGAUGCGGGCGGAAAACCGCACACACUU